GACAUGCAAGUGUAGGAAUCCGAAAGGUGACCGACCUUCGGGAGCGUUGCACAGGUGCUGCAUGGCUGUCGUCAGCUCGUGUCGUGAGAUGUUCGGUUAAGUCCGCUAACGAGCGCAACCCUCGUCGUGUGUUAUACGUGUCACACGAUACUGCCGGUAUCAAGCCGGAGGAAGGUGGGGAUGAUGUCAAGUCAGCAUGGCCUUUAUAUCCUGGGCUACACACACGCUACAAUGGCAGAUACAAUAGGUUGCGAAACCGCGAGGUGGAGCCAAUCCUCAAAGUCUGUCCCAGUUCAGAUUGUAGGCUGCAACUCGCCUGCAUGAAGUUGGAGUUGCUAGUAAACGCAGGUCAGCUAUACUGCGUUGAAUACGUUCCCGGGGUUU
RNAcentral lists this ribosomal RNA (384 nucleotides) under uncultured Leptolinea sp. Its description in RNAcentral is "bacterial SSU rRNA". It matches the Rfam family "Bacterial small subunit ribosomal RNA", at positions 983 to 1382 of the family's 1533-position model. The record is from RNAcentral. Lineage: Bacteria; Bacillati; Chloroflexota; Anaerolineae; Anaerolineales; Anaerolineaceae.